AUGGAUACGCAGCCCUACAAACUGCUAGUGUGGAAUUUGCGCUGGCUGAACUCGCCUGCACGACAUAGUGCAAUCUUCCAGGUGGUUGCGGCGGCGAACCCGACCAUUGUUUUCUACCAAGAGACAAAAAUCGAAACCAUGACAUCUAAAAUCGUCAGGCAUUGCCUUGGCAAUAAAUUGGAAAAUUUCUAUUAUCUGCCGACUGUGUGGACUCGUGGAGGUAUAUUAAUCGCAUGGGAUGAGGCUGUUGUGGGGCUUUCGAACCCGCAUCGCACAUUAAACACAAUCUCUGCCCUGGUAAAACCGAAGAGUGGUGGACACUGGUGGCUGACGGGCGUAUAA
RNAcentral lists this ribosomal RNA (342 nucleotides) under Triticum aestivum (bread wheat). Its description in RNAcentral is "partial small subunit ribosomal RNA". Lineage: Eukaryota; Viridiplantae; Streptophyta; Magnoliopsida; Poales; Poaceae. The record is from RNAcentral.